CGGGGCCUGCUGGGAGAGCGAGUUCCUGCGCUCGCCGAGGAGUGGGUCCGGAAGCGGCGCCGGAGCGGGUCCGGAAGCGGGCGGUGGAGAAGUCCAGUUGCCCCAAAAUUCUUAGGCAGCAGAAGAGUGACAAGUGAAAAAAGUUCCUAGCGGGAGACGUGCUUGGAACCGGAGAUAAUCUGUGUCUACCGCUGGUCUUCAAGGUGCUUAAUUUCGUGCCCGCUCUACAGGAAAUAACGUGCGCGGCGGAGGAGCCCUGUCCUGGAGAAUAACGCGUGAAGAAGACAGUGGACUGGGCAUUUCGUCCAGAUGAAUGAGCAUGGUAGUUAAGUGUAGAAGGUGACCUUCUUCCCUCUGGAGAGACCAGGGAGGGGGGAACCACCGGAGGAGUUUCUAGCGGUUGCAGCUACUUGAGGUUCCAGUCUAAUAACUACGAACUGUUCAUUUCAAGUAGCAUUAAAGUAGAUUUGCUACAGUAACAAUUACACUUGGCUAAGGAAAAUUUGCAAGGCAACAUGGUCUAUUGCAUAGAGCACUGAGCCACAUGUUAACACUGUAACAAACACUUGCUAUUUUGAAAUUUUACGCUUCAUCUUUUGCAAAUCAGAUGCAGGUGCAGAGUGAAUUAAGAGGAGCUGAAUUAAGAGAGAAGCUUGCAUGCACUGCUGUCAAAACCUAAACACACUGGCUUUUUUUUUUUUAACAGUUCCUUUUUUCAAGGUAUAGAUUCUGGGAAGGUAAGGGAAGAUAAAACAGCUUUUCUUUUUCUCUCCUGUUUUUUUUUUUGUUGUUUUUUUUUUGAGACUAGGUCUCACUCUAUUCCCCAUGCUGGAGUGCAGUGGCACAAUCAUAGCUUACAGUAGCCUCGAACAGCGAUCCUCUUGCCUCAGCCUCCAAAGUAGCUGGGACUACAGGCGCGCGCCACAACACCUGGCCAAGCGUUUCUUCCAGAUCAUUCCUUACUGGGUUGCUGGUUCAGUAAAAAUAAAAAAAUAAAAAAUAAUUUAGAAAUGAGUUCCCAAAUUUCAUUAUGUUCCCAAUGUCAUUUGGAAUCACUGUUUCACUGUUUUCUUAUUUACCCCUGGGUCGUACAUUACUUCACUUAUUUAUAUCUAACAGGAAGCAGAGCUUCUGCUAUAUUUUAGGCUGUAUUCAGUUUUAUACAGAAUACCUUUUUUAGAGCUUGAAGACAAAUGUUUUAGAUUUUGACAGUAAAACAAAUUUCCCUCAUUUUUACAUAUAGAGAAAAGCAAUUCCCAGAAAGAUAACAUUGUGAAAUUACUGAAAUCAGUUAUAAAACUCAGGGCAAAGUGUGGAAUUAAAGUGGUUCACAGUCAUUUGAAUACACAUACUCAGAUGUAUUCUAAACUAAGAUGAGUUUUUUUUUAAGCAAACGUUUAGAGAUUUUAUUCAGAGUAUAUAAAGAACUCUCAAAACUCAGUGAGAAAAAAAGCAUUUAAAAAAUGGGCAAAAGAUUUAAACAGAUUUCACCAAACGAGAUAUAUAUAUACA
RNAcentral lists this long non-coding RNA (1512 nucleotides) under Homo sapiens (human). RNAcentral describes it as "HSALNT0347504". The record is from RNAcentral. Lineage: Eukaryota; Metazoa; Chordata; Mammalia; Primates; Hominidae.